GAUGAACGCUGGCGGCGUGCCUAAUACAUGCCAGUCGAGCGAACAGACGAGGAGCUUGCUCCUCUGACGUUAGCGGCGGACGCGUGAGUAACACGUGGAUAACCUACCUAUAAGACUGGGAUAACUUCGGGAAACCGGAGCUAAUACCGGAUAAUAUAUUGAACCGCAUGGUUCAAUAGUGAAAGACGGUUUUGCUGUCACUUAUAGAUGGAUCCGCGCCGCAUUAGCUAGUUGGUAAGGUAACGGCUUACCAAGGCAACGAUGCGUAGCCGACCUGAGAGGGUGAUCGGCCACACUGGAACUGAGACACGGUCCAGACUCCUACGGGAGGCAGCAGUAGGGAAUCUUCCGCAAUGGGCGAAAGCCUGACGGAGCAACGCCGCGUGAGUGAUGAAGGUCUUCGGAUCGUAAAACUCUGUUAUUAGGGAAGAACAAAUGUGUAAGUAACUAUGCACGUCUUGACGGUACCUAAUCAGAAAGCCACGGCUAACUACGUG
Molecule: ribosomal RNA, 497 nt
Filed under: uncultured bacterium
Lineage: Bacteria
Description: partial 16S ribosomal RNA
Rfam family: Bacterial small subunit ribosomal RNA
Source: RNAcentral